This 484-nucleotide ribosomal RNA is filed under the name uncultured bacterium. RNAcentral describes it as "partial 16S ribosomal RNA". It matches the Rfam family "Bacterial small subunit ribosomal RNA", at positions 30 to 507 of the family's 1533-position model. The record is from RNAcentral.
AUUGAACGCUGGCGGCAGGCCUAACACAUGCAAGUCGAGCGGAUGAAGGGAGCUUGCUCCUGGAUUCAGCGGCGGACGGGUGAGUAAUGCCUAGGAAUCUGCCUGGUAGUGGGGGAUAACGUCCGGAAACGUGCGCUAAUACCGCAUACGUCCCGAGGGAGAAAGUGGGGGAUCUUCGGACCUCACGCUAUCAGAUGAGCCUAGGUCGGAUUAGCUAGUUGGUGGGGUAAAGGCCUACCAAGGCGACGAUCCGUAACUGGUCUGAGAGGAUGAUCAGUCACACUGGAACUGAGACAAGGUCCAGACUCAUACGGGAGGCAGAAGUGGGGAAUAUUGGACAAUGGGCGAAAGCCUGAUCCAGCCAUGCCGCGUGUGUGAAGAAGGUCUUCGGAUUGUAAAGCACUUUAAGUUGGGAGGAAGGGCAGUAAGUUAAUAACUUGCUGUUUUGACGUUACCAACAGAAUAAGCACCGGCUAACUUCGUG